CUGAUAAGAUCACCGCCCCUUCAGAGAAAUAUUUCCGUGGCCCGUUCGUGUUUGUCUCUUAUCGUGCGCCGAAAACCGUGGGCUGGAGGAGAGAGAGAGAGAGAAAGAGAGAGGAAAGUGAUCGCGGAGAUGUUCGAGCUGUUCGUCCUGGGGUGCACCGGCGUGGUGGUCUUCAUCCACGGCGCCAACUUCUUCUUCCGCGCCCUCUCCCAUCGCCUCACCGCCCGACCCCUCAGCUUCUUGGGAAUCGCUGGGUGGUGAAAGGGCUUCGAACGCCGAUGGAAUCGUGGGAACUCCUCAUCCAUGCGGAAGAUAAUUAUUGAUUGAUUAAGGCGAAGCAUGUAAUCUAUAUUUUAUUGCCACUGGGGUUAUGGAGUGGAUGCGGACAGCAUCUACCAAGGAUUCACCCUGCUUUGCUGGCUACGAGCUGUGGGUUGAACCAUCUGCUGUUGUCGGUGGAUAAUGACGAGUACUAUUAAUUUAUCGACCCCAUGAUGUGUGUUCUGGAAAUCUAUUGGUGCAAGAGCAAUCCUGCGAUCUCACAUAUCUA
This is a long non-coding RNA of Musa acuminata AAA Group (dessert banana), 550 nucleotides long. RefSeq lists it as uncharacterized. NCBI's taxonomy places the organism in Eukaryota, Viridiplantae, Streptophyta, Magnoliopsida, Zingiberales, Musaceae. The transcript has 3 exons. The record is from RefSeq and is a predicted model, not a curated record.